This 253-nucleotide ribosomal RNA is filed under the name uncultured bacterium. Its description in RNAcentral is "partial 16S ribosomal RNA". It matches the Rfam family "Bacterial small subunit ribosomal RNA", at positions 524 to 776 of the family's 1533-position model. The record is from RNAcentral.
UACGUAGGGACCGAGCGUUGUCCGGAAUCAUUGGGCGUAAAGAGCGUGUAGGCGGCCACUUAAGUCCUGCGUGAAAUCUUGCGGCUCAACCGCAAGCGGUCGUGGGAAACUGGGUGGCUAGAGUGCGGGAGAGGAGAGUGGAAUUCCUGGUGUAGCGGUGGAAUGCGUAGAUAUCUGGAGGAACACCGGUGGCGAAGGCGGCAUCCUGGACCGACACUGACACUGAGGAGCGAAAGCCAGGGGAGCAAACGGG